ACGUGUGCAACCUGCCUUUAUCUGGGGGAUAGCCUUUCGAAAGGAAGAUUAAUACCCCAUAAUAUAUUUGAUGGCAUCAUUAGAUAUUGAAAACUCCGGUGGAUAGAGAUGGGCACGCGCAAGAUUAGUUAGUUGGUGAGGUAACGGCUCACCAAGGCGAUGAUCUUUAGGGGGCCUGAGAGGGUGAUCCCCCACACUGGUACUGAGACACGGACCAGACUCCUACGGGAGGCAGCAGUGAGGAAUAUUGGACAAUGGGUUAGCGCCUGAUCCAGCCAUCCCGCGUGAAGGACGACGGCCCUAUGGGUUGUAAACUUCUUUUGUAUAGGGAUAAACCUACUCUCGUGAGAGUAGCUGAAGGUACUAUACGAAUAAGCACCGGCUAACUCCGUGCCAGCAGCCGCGGUAAUACGGAGGGUGCAAGCGUUAUCCGGAUUUAUUGGGUUUAAAGGGUCCGUAGGCGGAUCUGUAAGUCAGUGGUGAAAUCUCAUAGCUUAACUAUGAAACUGCCAUUGAUACUGCAGGUCUUGAGUAAAUUUGAAGUGGCUGGAAUAAGUAGUGUAGCGGUGAAAUGCAUAGAUAUUACUUAGAACACCAAUUGCGAAGGCAGGUCACUAAGAUUUAACUGACGCUGAUGGACGAAAGCGUGGGGAGCGAACAGGAUUAGAUACCCUGGUAGUCCACGCCGUAAACGAUGCUAACUCGUUUUUUGUGAUUCGUCAUGAGAGACUAAGCGAAAGUGAUAAGUUAGCCACCUGGGGAGUACGUUCGCAAGAAUGAAACUCAAAGGAAUUGACGGGGGCCCGCACAAGCGGUGGAUUAUGUGGUUUAAUUCGAUGAUACGCGAGGAACCUUACCAAGACUUAAAUGGGAGUGGACAGAUUUAGAAAUAGGCCCUCCUUCGGGCCGCUUUCAAGGUGCUGCAUGGUUGUCGUCAGCUCGUGCCGUGAGGUGUUAGGUUAAGUCCUGCAACGAGCGCAACCCCUGUCGCCAGUUGCUACCAUUCAGUUGAGGACUCUAGCGAGACUGCCUACGCAAGUAGAGAGGAAGGUGGGGAUGACGUCAAAUCAUCACGGCCCUUACGCCUUGGGCCACACACGUAAUACAAUGGCCGGUACAGAGGGCAGCUACAAAGCGAUGUGAUGCAAAUCUCGAAAGCCGGUCUCAGUUCGGAUUGGAGUCUGCAACUCGACUCUAUGAAGCUGGAAUCGCU
This 1213-nucleotide ribosomal RNA is filed under the name Epilithonimonas bovis. RNAcentral describes it as "bacterial SSU rRNA". It matches the Rfam family "Bacterial small subunit ribosomal RNA", at positions 115 to 1336 of the family's 1533-position model. Lineage: Bacteria; Pseudomonadati; Bacteroidota; Flavobacteriia; Flavobacteriales; Weeksellaceae. The record is from RNAcentral.